Molecule: ribosomal RNA, 301 nt
Filed under: uncultured bacterium
Lineage: Bacteria
Description: partial 16S ribosomal RNA
Rfam family: Bacterial small subunit ribosomal RNA
Source: RNAcentral
CAGUAGCCGCGGUAAUACGUAGGUGGCAAGCGUUGUCCGGAAUUAUUGGGCGUAAAGGGCUCGCAGGCGGUUUCUUAAGUCUGAUGUGAAAGCCCCCGGCUCAACCGGGGAGGGUCAUUGGAAACUGGGAAACUUGAGUGCAGAAGAGGAGAGUGGAAUUCCACGUGUAGCGGUGAAAUGCGUAGAGAUGUGGAGGAACACCAGUGGCGAAGGCGACUCUCUGGUCUGUAACUGACGCUGAGGCGCGAAAGCGUGGGGAGCAAACAGGAUUAGAUACCCCUGUAGUCCCUGUCUCUUAUAC